ACGUACUCCGCUUCGAGAUUUAGAAAAGACAGCCUUGUUCGGAAAAAAGUGAACGAAACAUAACCGUCGCGUGUUCCUCAAGAUUUAAACGGUGACACACGAAUGCACCGAAGAAAUAGAGGGAAUAGAGGGAGAUCGAACGUUGAAAGUGUGCAAAUUCGAGGAAACGGAAUGGCUAACUCUGGUGGGGCUAGGGAUUCUAUCUUUUAUUCAAGGCUGUCUCCGGAAGCAAUUACCCAUUGGUCACGAUGACAGACCAUCAGAAUGUUAUGGUAUAAAUUCGAAAAGAGAACCUUGUCUCAAAGGUUCGAAAGAAUGAAUGAGGAAAUUUGCCGGCAGCUGGACGUAUAUACGC
This 355-nucleotide unclassified non-coding RNA is filed under the name Bombus terrestris (buff-tailed bumblebee). RNAcentral describes it as "misc RNA ENSBTSG00005033242.1". The record is from RNAcentral. Lineage: Eukaryota; Metazoa; Arthropoda; Insecta; Hymenoptera; Apidae.